GUCUGAGAGGACGAUCAGCCACACUGGAACUGAGACACGGUCCAGACUCCUACGGGAGGCAGCAGUGGGGAAUUUUGGACAAUGGGCGCAAGCCUGAUCCAGCCAUGCCGCGUGAGUGAAGAAGGCCUUCGGGUUGUAAAGCUCUUUCGGUGAAGACGAAACGGUUAGCGCUAAUAACGCUGACUAAUGACGGUACUCACAGAAGAAGCACCGGCUAACUACGUGCCAGCAGCCGCGGUAAUACGUAGGGUGCAGGCGUUAAUCGGAAUUACUGGGCGUAAAGCGUGCGCAGGCGGUUUGCUAAGACAGGUGUGAAAUCCCCGAGCUUAACUUGGGAAUUGCGCUUGUAACUGGCAAGCUAGAGUGUGGCAGAGGGGGGUGGAAUUCCACGUGUAGCAGUGAAAUGCGUAGAUAUGUGGAGGAACACCGAUGGCGAAGGCAGCCCCCUGGGUUAACACUGACGCUCAUGCACGAAAGCGUGGGGAGCAAACAGGAUUAGAUACCCUGGUAGUCCACGCCCUAAACUAUGUCAACUAGUUGUCGGGGAAGAAAUUCCUUGGUAACGAAGCUAACGCGUGAAGUUGACCGCCUGGGGAGUACGGCCGCAAGGUUAAAACUCAAAGGAAUUGACGGGGACCCGCACAAGCGGUGGAUUAUGUGGAUUAAUUCGAUGCAACGCGAAAAACCUUACCUACCCUUGACAUGCUAGGAAGCCCGCAGAGAUGUGGGUGUGCCCGAAAGGGAACCUAGACACAGGUGCUGCAUGGCUGUCGUCAGCUCGUGUCGUGAGAUGUUGGGUUAAGUCCCGCAACGAGCGCAACCCUUGCCAUUAGUUGCUACGUUUAGUUGGGCACUCUAAUGGGACCGCCGGUGACAAACCGGAGGAAGGUGGGGAUGACGUCAAGUCCUCAUGGCCCUUAUGGGUAGGGCUUCACACGUAAUACAAUGGUCGGUACAGAGGGCUGCCAACCCGCAAGGGGGAGCUAAUCCCAGAAAGCCGAUCGUAGUCCGGAUUGUAGUCUGCAACUCGACUGCAUGAAGCCGGAAUCGCUAGUAAUCGCGGAUCAGCAUGUCGCGGUGAAUACGUUCCCGGGUCUUGUACACACCGCCCGUCACACCAUGGGAGUGGGUUCCACCAGAAGUAGUUAGCCUAACCGCAAGGAGGGCGAUUACCACAGUGAGAUUCAUGACUGGGGUGAAGUCGUAACAAGGUA
This 1214-nucleotide ribosomal RNA is filed under the name metagenome. RNAcentral describes it as "bacterial SSU rRNA". It matches the Rfam family "Bacterial small subunit ribosomal RNA", at positions 290 to 1498 of the family's 1533-position model. The record is from RNAcentral.